RNAcentral lists this ribosomal RNA (774 nucleotides) under uncultured Neocallimastigales. RNAcentral's name for it is "partial large subunit ribosomal RNA". It matches the Rfam family "Eukaryotic large subunit ribosomal RNA", at positions 22 to 635 of the family's 3401-position model. Lineage: Eukaryota; Fungi; Neocallimastigomycota; Neocallimastigomycetes; Neocallimastigales. The record is from RNAcentral.
CUAUACAUGACUCUGCGCAUAUCAAUAAGCGGAGGAAAAGAAACUAACUAGGAUUCCCUCAGUAACGGCGAGUGAAGCGGGAAGAGCUCAAAUUUGAAAUCUUCAAGGUUCUACCUUGACGAAUUGUAGUUUAAAGAAGUGUUUUCUGUUGGAGUUUUGGUAAAAGUUCUUUGGAAUAGGACAUCAUAGAGGGUGAGAAUCCCGUAUUUGACCAUUAUUUCCAACUUUGUGAUACACUUUCAAAGAGUCGGAUUGUUUGGGAAUGCAGUCCAAAAUGGGUGGUAAAUUUCAUCUAAAGCUAAAUACUGGCGAGAGACCGAUAGCGAACAAGUACCGUGAGGGAAAGAUGAAAAGAACUUUGAAAAGAGAGUUAAACAGUACGUGAAAUUGUCAAAAGGGAAGCGUUUGACACCAGUGUUGUUUUCUCGAAAAUCAAUUAAAAAUGGCAGGAUUUUGUGUUGUAUUGACUUUAUCAGCUUUCUGCACUUUUUUCUUGUCUUUUUUAAUGCACUUUUCGUUUAACAAGUCAACAUCAAUUUCUUUUGUUGUAAAAGGGUCAUUGGAAGGUGGCUUUCUUUUCGGAGAAAGUGUUUAUAGCCUUGUGCCUCUGCAAUCGGAGAGAUUGAGGUCUGCAGCGUAGAUCCUUCGGGGUUAGAUGCAUUUGUGCUAAGUUAUAGCCUUUCAUAGACAACUUGUUGACUAUGAUCAGUCAUGUAGCUUACUCGCUUAUGUCAUUUUACCUACGCUUAGGAUGUUGAUAUGCAUGACUGAUAU